This 505-nucleotide ribosomal RNA is filed under the name uncultured bacterium. Its description in RNAcentral is "partial 16S ribosomal RNA". It matches the Rfam family "Bacterial small subunit ribosomal RNA", at positions 28 to 507 of the family's 1533-position model. The record is from RNAcentral.
GACGAACGCUGGCGGCGUGCCUAAUACAUGCAAGUAGAACGCACAGUUUAUACCGUAGCUUGCUACACCAUAGACUGUGAGUUGCGAACGGGUGAGUAACGCGUAGGUAACCUGCCUGGUAGCGGGGGAUAACUAUUGGAAACGAUAGCUAAUACCGCAUAAUAUUAAUUAUUGCAUGAUAAUUAAUUGAAAGGUGCAAUUGCACCACUACCAGAUGGACCUGCGUUGUAUUAGCUAGUAGGUGAGGUAACGGCUCACCUAGGCGACGAUACAUAGCCGACCAGAGAGGGUGGUCGGCCACACUGGGACUGAGACACGGCCCAGACUCCUACGGGAGGCAGCAGUAGGGAAUCUUCGGCAAUGGACGAAAGUCUGACCGAGCAACGCCGCGUGAGUGAAGAAGGGUUUCGGAUCGUAAAGCUCUGUUGUAAGAGAAGAACGGGUGUGAGAGUGGAAAGUUCACACUGUGACGGUAUCUGACCAGAAAGGGACGGCUAACUACGUG